RNAcentral lists this ribosomal RNA (495 nucleotides) under uncultured bacterium. Its description in RNAcentral is "partial 16S ribosomal RNA". It matches the Rfam family "Bacterial small subunit ribosomal RNA", at positions 28 to 507 of the family's 1533-position model. The record is from RNAcentral.
GACGAACGCUGGCGGCGUGCCUAAUACAUGCAAGUAGAACGCUGAAGGAGGAGCUUGCUUCUCCGGAUGAGUUGCGAACGGGUGAGUAACGCGUAGGUAACCUGCCUGGUAGCGGGGGAUAACUAUUGGAAACGAUAGCUAAUACCGCAUAAGAGUAGAUGUCGCAUGACAUUUGCUUAAAAGGUGCAACUGCACCACUACCAGAUGGACCUGCGUUGUAUUAGCUAGUUGGUGAGGUAACGGCUCACCACGGCAACGAUACAUAGCCGACCUGAGAGGGUGAUCGGCCACACUGGGACUGAGACACGGCCCAGACUCCUACGGGAGGCAGCAGUAGGGAAUCUUCGGCAAUGGACGGAAGUCUGACCGAGCAACGCCGCGUGAGUGAAGAAGGUUUUCGGAUCGUAAAGCUCUGUUGUAAGAGAAGAACGAGUGUGAGAGUGGAAAGUUCACACUGUGACGGUAGCUUACCAGAAAGGGACGGCUAACUACGUG